Daphnia pulicaria is the source of this 1186-nucleotide long non-coding RNA. RefSeq lists it as uncharacterized. The transcript is spliced from 2 exons. The record is from RefSeq and is a predicted model, not a curated record. NCBI's taxonomy places the organism in Eukaryota, Metazoa, Arthropoda, Branchiopoda, Diplostraca, Daphniidae.
UCUAUAGUGUAGUACAGCAUCCGUCUUAAAUCCUUGUCAGCCAAACGACCCCGCUUUCCCAUCUACUCUAUAUAUACGGCCACUUCCUUCCAACGCGUAUCACUUCAAUCCGCCCAUUCGGUUUCGGUUCGUGUUUCGACAGACUCGAUCCUAUGCGACAAGAGUUAAUAUACCAGGAAAAUUUUCAUUACUGUGAAUGGUUGACUGAAUCGGCUUUAGAGAUUAUUAACCGAGGUUAUUUGUGCGCACUAAAACUUGAAAAUAUGCUACUUCCCUACUUUCUGCUCUACAGGGAACUCAAUAAAUGUUCAGCCAGUUCAGUGUUAAUAAAAAAAAGUGUCAAACUUGAAAAUGCAAACUUCUAGCGCCAAGAACCUGUCAUUCCCUGGCUCAAAAGUUUAUUUUUUCUAUAAGGGCUGGUAUCGAUUUCAUGUUUCGUAGCUCUGUAAUGAACAGGUGGUCAAUUUAUGGAGUCUGUCUGAUCACAAGCAAUUAUGGUGCCAAAUGAACUGAAAAUAUGGCCUACCAACUUCACUAUAGCAUUCUGCGAACCCAUUAUCAAACAAAGUGGCUGGAGAACGAGCGAGCGGAUAUAUGUUGUAGGGAUCGGGAUUGCUUGUUAUUAUAAAACCACACGCGUCCGGAGAUGAAGGAUAAGAUUGAUAACCUGUGAAACCACAUCCAAAUAAAGCGUGCGGUUACUUUCAACCGGCACGCAGACAUUCAUUAAUGCUUUCCGUUAGACGCGCCUUUAUACUUUCCGGCCAGUCGGAGUAUGGGGUUGCACGGUACUCUACUAAUGUAACAAGUUACUCAAAAUCAAUCAGUAGAACAAGAAUGCAGUUGCACAUCAUUCUGAAAUUUGCCAUUCUUUUCACUCUGUUAACGAGCUCAUUUGCUGGUUCUAACACCAUGAGAUCUCCGGAAGAAAAUGUAGAUAAUUUACCAGUUAUAGCGAUCGGCGGCCCGAUCAAUUGUAAGAAUGGUCAACAAUUUAAUUCUAAACUGAAUCGUUGCAUGAAUGUUUGGCCCGGCUAAUCCGAAAUUUAAAAAAAAAGUCACAGUCGGAUUGGAAAGGAGUUUCGCCAUGGUUUAGAUUUACCCUUUAGUGUGGAUCGAAAUCUUUGCUCUGUUGAUUUUGUAUGGUCUAAUGGAUUCUUUGUGAACGCAAUAAAUACUUGACAUG